RNAcentral lists this unclassified non-coding RNA (147 nucleotides) under uncultured Leptodontidium. RNAcentral's name for it is "sequence contains ITS2". Lineage: Eukaryota; Fungi; Ascomycota. The record is from RNAcentral.
CAACCCUCAAGCAAUGCUUGGUGUUGGGCCGCGCCGCUAACCCGGCGGGCCCUAAAACCAGUGGCGGUGCCGUCGGGCUCUGAGCGUAGUAAUUCUUCUCGCUAUAGAGCCCCGGCGGAUGCUAGCCAGCAACCCCCAAUUUUCUAU